GCCUUCGUGGUGUAGUGGUCAGCACGCUCGACUCGUAUUCUAGAGGUCCGUGGUUCGAUUCCCGGCGAAAACA
RNAcentral lists this transfer RNA (73 nucleotides) under Stegodyphus mimosarum. It matches the Rfam family "tRNA". From Rfam's summary of the family: Transfer RNA (tRNA) molecules are approximately 80 nucleotides in length. Their secondary structure includes four short double-helical elements and three loops (D, anti-codon, and T loops). Lineage: Eukaryota; Metazoa; Arthropoda; Arachnida; Araneae; Eresidae. The record is from Rfam by way of RNAcentral.